CAUGACACUGGGGAAGGACAUCUCUUUGGUGUCCUUCUUGUCCCCUGCCGUCUGUAAAAUGGGAAACCACCUACCUUGCAGGGUCGCUGUAGGAAGAGGUGAUACAGAUAAAGCGCUUGGCCAAAGAAGGUCGUGAGCCCCAGCUGGCCCCAGGGGACAAGGAUACUCACUCCAGUCCCUUCGCCUGGCUCAGUCCAAGUGGUGACCUCUGCAGCAGGCUUCCUGGGAGCAUCCUCCCCUUGCUGACCCCUGCCAGCCCCCAUCACUGUCCCAACCUUCCUUGCCUCCCAGACAAACCAAGGUGACAGUUGUCCCCCGCUGGCUCUGGCCUCGGUUCUUGCUCUUGCGGGUUUCCUUGGGGUGUUGGGACCAGCUGGGGUGGAGACACCCCUGUGCUGCAGUCCCAGCCAGGCUCCAGAGCAGGCAGAGACCUCCCCUGCCGUUCUUUGCUUGUUUCAAGCUGGAGGGACAAUCCAGCUGUGCCCACCUGGAGGGGUGGUCUCACCCCUGGAUCCCUCUUUCAGCACCAUCAUGCCAAAUGGGACACUGACUUCAGCUAUUAGCCUCAGUCUCCUCUGUCUCCCCCAAGCAGCACCCUCCACCCAUGCCCUGACUCUGAAGUCUCAGCAGCAGCCUGGGGUGGGAGUAACAACUGGGACGUCCAGCUGACCUUGGUCUCCCUGGUGCUCAAUUGAACCACCAGCGCAGAGGCCUUCCCAAAGACAGGACUCGCCAGUCCCACCUGCCCUGGGCUUUGCAGGGUCUGCAUGUCAGAGUCCCCAGCCUUGAACUCUAGGCCCCCAGAUCAAUCCCUCUUGGUUUUGGCUCACAGCUGAAUGGGGCUUUGAGGGGGCAGGAGCUAGAAACCCCUGCAAAGCUCCGACCCCUGGCUCCCAUUCAUCCACAGGUGCGUGGCGUGCGUGCCUACUGCGCAGGAAUGGUGGUGGCUCUUCUAGGCAACAUUUGUGACACGCUGGCUCCUGUCACCUGCUUUGCCUACAGAUGCCAGCUCACUGGGGUCUUAUAUGGUGGGGCUGGGAGGAAGGAGGUGGGCCUCAAAGGGUCCGUUCCUUAAGUGUUGGCUUCAAGAUGGCCCCAACUAUGGGGCACAGAGGUCCUGGGAGCUGCCAAAGGGCAAUGUACUCUAGAGUCAAAGUCACUGGCUGGUGACAAGGUCAAACCCAUUCCACCCGCCUCCCCCACAGCGAAUACCCUGGAGAGAAAUGCAUUCUUGACUUUCCUCAGAACUCAUGCCUGGCGUUCACCUGGAACCAAGGCCAUUGCUCGGCAGUGGCCCUUCCCUCUAGAAGCCCUCCUUCCCCGUCCCCUCCAGCAAGCCUUCCCCUCACCGCCUUCCCUGCCUCCACCGCCUCUGGAACCCGCAGACCGGACUCCAACAGCUCGCCUGUGGCUUUGCGGUCACUCUUUUCAUUUAUUGCACAAAUCGCAGAGUCUCUCUGGCUCUGGGAGGGCUGGAUCGUGGUUAUCGGUUCAUCCUUCCUAUCUUUACAGAACCCAGCUUUCCUGACAUAGCAACAAUCCCAUCCCUGUCCUGGUUCCAGAGAAUUCCAAAGAUCUGCUUUGCUCUUCCCGACAACUCAUCUAGGCAACCUUUGUGGCUGCUAUUAACAGGGGGUGGGAACUGCAGGGGAGAUGGGCCAAGGAUGACGCUGGACCCACAUCUAACAGACAGGAGGCCCUGCUGGCAGGGAGAGAGGAGAUAAGCAGCCGAUGGUGAUGUUGGAUUGAUAACGUGAUACCCGCAGGUGGGAUUUUCAAAGUGUUUUUAUGUCACAGACUCAUUUGACCCAGGGAGGGAACAAGAAGCAGAUGAAUCCACUUUGCUGCUGAGAACACUGAGGCUCCGUGACCUUCCAGAGCCACACAGCUAGCAGGAGGCCCUGCCUAGCCUGUGGAGGAAGAUCCGCUCACUGCAGGAAAAAACUGACAGGCGAGGCUCCCGGGGUUCCAGGAGAGAGGGGCAGGUGAGCCCAGGGGCAGGAGCCCACCCCCCAGCCCCGCCACACCGAGCCCUUCAAGACAUCUGGUCCCAGCAUCCCCUGCCUGCUGUCCCUGCCUUGGCAGCUGCCCACGGGGCUGGGGCCGGCUCCAUAAAAUCAAUAGUUGGUUGGCUUGAGCUGGCUGAGUCUGCCCCCCGGAGCUCAGGUGUGACGGCAAUGAAUCUCGCUAAUGGCAGGAGGUGACCGUUCCUUCUCUUUGUGGCCUGGAGACAGGUAUUUCCAAAGCUCCUGCCCUGGCUCAGGCAAACACACAUGACCUCUCUUUUCUUUCCUGGGCCCUGGGUAAAGCAGAGUAGCCAGGGACAAAGUGGGGUGAACCAGACAGAGCUGGAGAGCUCCCUCCCACCUCGUCCUGCCAGUGCCCCUGCCAGCCUGGGAUCCCGGCCGGCACAGCCCUCCCUCCCUGGAGGAGGGGACAAGUGUCUGGUGACCUUGGGGUAUGUGUCAGCCUGGCAUCCCCUUCCCCACCUGCCCUCCCUGCUGCUGGCACACUGCCUCAGCCUCUUCCGAGAACAAUCUGGCAAGUUCUAAAAUCUACAAACUGCAAAAAACCCAGAGAGAUGGGAGGGCCCCAGCCCCUGAAGGCCCACGAGGCAAACUGACCUGUUUUAAUAGUGGUGUUAAAUACCUCCACAGGGAAUAGCUGGAAGGAGUCACUGAGACGAGGGGACUUGGCGUCCAUUUCUGGGAAGUGGCACCUCAUGGUAUGGCAACUCUCCCAUUCAGCCAAGUUACCUUUGCCACAUCAAACCAAGUCUCAAGUAGAAGCCGACUUUUGUGCUUGGAGGCUGGGAGAAUGCAGGUUGGGUCCUUCCCAGGGGAUACACACGAGAAGAGAGUGCACUCUGACACCUGAUGACGUACCCGGAGCACAGUUAUUCUAACCAGGACCCCAUUCUUGAGGUUGGACAUCACAGUAAACUGUUUGGUUUUUGACUCAUCAUUGGAGGCCAUUAUCUUAAUGCUACCCUGAUAUGGGAGUGUUUCCAAGUUGUGCCUGGGUGGCAGCCGCGCUGGUGCCCUAGGAGGCCGGGCGCGGGCCAGGUGGAAGCACGACUCCCCGUGCUCACUGAGUGCAGGUGGGGACACCUUGGUGUGUCACGGAUUGGACUGUCCUGUUGUCCUUUUCAUACCUCGGGAAGAGCUCCUCGGAGCAGGAACUGUCCACUGGAAAAGCUAGCCCAGUACUCCUGCCUCACGGCCCUGCCCAGCUCAGUGAGGACAGGGAUGGGGACAGGGAUGGGGACAGUGGAGGACCCGGGCACAGAGCAGCUCACCUUCCCUCGGGAGGCUGCUCCUCAGUUCUCUGCUUUCUGGGGCUCCGCUGCUGGAAAGAAAAACAGACAGAUGGGGUGAAGGACCCCCUCCGGAGGGCAACCCCUGCAGAAGGGGCGCCUGUGUCCCACACGUGGGAGUCCCAGUCACACAGAGUGGGUGUGAUUUCCUGCUCUGCUACUUGCUGGUUAGGGGAACCUGGGCCCCUAGACCUGGGCCGUAGGACGUGGUAGUGGGGCCUACCUCCUGGGGCUACGUGCACUUAUGUGAGAUGACGUCUGUGCCCGACAAGAAGCAGGUGCUCUGUAAAUAGCAACUGUCACUAGCAGUGGCCUGUUUGGUGCAGGUAAAGGAGCAAUGUCACAGAGUCCUCUCCUGGCACUGUGGGAGCUUGUCUGGAGGGCCCUCAGGCCAUGGGUCCUAGCAAUAGUCCCUCCUGGGCCACACAACAACCCUCUCCUGUCCCCUCUGUUCCACUGGGCAGGUGGUCAUGGACAGUUACCGUUUGCAGUGAUGAGGUUCUCCACCUGGGCUUCCUCGUCCCCUGGAGCCCUGUGGAAAAGAGACACAGAGCCCCAUCAGAGGUCUCCAGGCAAACCCAGGAGCAUCAUCACGCUGCUUGCUGGAGCAGGGCCACCUGGGACCUGUCCCUCCAAGUCCUCUGAGCACUCUCUACGGGGUGGAGGGAAGAUGGGACUGAAAAGCACAGAGUCAGAAAGAACUUACAGGCACCCUUCAGCCUCAGUCCCCAAGAGAAGUAAGUACUAGGAGGGGUGGCCCAGGGCCAGGGGGGCUUACGUGUGCCCUGCCACAGAAUCUGGGCUUCUGAGAACCAGAGCUGCCCUUGGACAGGUUGGGAGUUUUGUGGGAAGACAGGAAGGCCCCAUGUCCAUGCAGCUCACGGAGCCUUACAGAGAGGUGAGCGGCAGGGACAGAGUCUUGGGUCCUGUAGAAAGGACCUGGGACUCAAGAGAGACCACGAGGCCCUCUUCUUCCCUUGUCCCGAGCCCAGCUAUUCCAGAGGGCAAUAGUCAAUAGUUUCCAGCACCUUCUAUCCCACCCCUGCUCCCCCAUAUAAGUCACUGGCUGAGCGUCAAGGUUUUGGCCUCUUUUUUGCCCCUAAGUCAACUGUAAUUAUCAAAUUGAUAUCCGUACACCCUCCCGCACAUACUCUCCUUCCAGACAAGAGUCCAGGAGAAUACCCGUUGAGGUCAUACACCAGGGAUCCCUCCCUGUCCCUCCUAGUGUCAUCCCAGAUGGCCACGGGUGUGGCAUCCUUACCGGGGCUUCUGAUUGAAACUGCACUUGCACCUGCGACCUGAAAGGCAAAGAAAUCAUCCAAGGUCACGGUCCUGGCCUGGCCACGCCACAGUAGAGCUGCCCUGAGGCCAUACAGGAUGCAGGACUAUGUUCAUGGUCCCUAGACUUGGGCAGUGCACCUUGAACAGCUGUAUGCUGAAACCCUAGACUGGAGCAGGGUUCCUCGGAGGCCAUGGUUGUACGUUCCACAGCUAGAACGUGGCCACACCACCACCGUGCACUUGACUGUGGACCUGCGAGGGCACUGUGCAGACCAGGCUUGUGUGGAAAAAAAACAAACACAGGGCCAUGUCCCUUGGAGCCCACUGGGGACAGCACCUGUCUCCUUUCUCCUGUGACUGUCCUGCUCAUGCCCAAUGGAUACAGGACUGGGACAGCCACCCUGCCCAUUCUUAUCUAUGCUUAUAUUCACCUACAUAGUCUUUGUUCAUGCUUAACUAUUUUACUGAGCACUUACUUUGUGCCCAGACCCAUGCCCAGCUCUGUAUUAGGUCCUGGAGAUGAGGUGGAGGCCAGAGUCAGAAAGGCCAGGCCUUAUGCUGUUCCCACCUGCUUAGCAGCCACAGAAAACAAGAAAUGAACUUACUUAGGAUAAGAAGGAUCCCAACCGAGAAGAGGACCACAGCAAACACCAAUCCUCCGAUCCUCAGGGUCUGGUAGUCUGCCAAAGGAACCAGGGGUGAGAGAGGGAGAAGAGGCAGGGCACCAGAGCAUGCCUGUCCCUCCCUGGAUGGGACUGCGCCUCACUCCCCCUCCCUACACCCAGGGUUGCUGAGGCUGCUCACCAUAAUGAAAAGGGUCCUUUUCUUUCUCCUGCUCAGCUGCUGCAAAAGUAAACAGACAUGGUCAAGACAGCUGCACACGCUGGACUGCCUUGUCUUAACUCACAGAUCUCAGUCCCCACAGAGAUUCCUGGGAAUGACAUACUGGGGAUGCGUGAGUGGAGGGCCUGCUGGGGUCAAGGCCAACCUGAGGGCCAAGGCCAGGUACAGCUCAGAGCUGGUGAGCCCUGCAUUUAGACUUCUUCUUUUUCUUCUUCUUCUUCUUUCCCCCCUUGCAUCAUUCCCCAAAGGUAGGGUCGGUCAUCCUUUUGUGACAGAGGGGGAAACUGAGACCAAGGAAUAAGGCCAGAACUGGUUAGUUAUGGUCCAGAUCCUACAGGCAUGUUUUUAAGGUUCAGCCCAAAAGUCCUGAGGUGGCUCUGAGGGCUUAAAAGAAAGCAGGUUCAGCUGGACCUGUGAGGGGAAGAGGUGGACAAGGCGGUGACAGUCUGUGAGAAUCUGUCUUUCCCAGACUUUCUCUGCUGACUAAAAAGACGAGCCUCUGAUUAAACAUGAGGGAUCUGAGAGCCCUCCUACCCUCAGGUCCCAAAAGACCAGAAUCUUCCAUGAGAAGGAGCUACGGCUGCCAUCUUAGCAGAACCAACCCCUAGAUGGUACUUACCACUGGCCAGGACUGUGGGAGCCAGCAGGCUGCACAGAAAGAUCAGCACUACCUCCAUGGCGUCUGGGGACAGAGGGAGGAAGAUAUUAUUCCCUAGACUGGAGAAGACCCUCCAACCAUCAACCUGAUCCAGGGUGAGUCAAAUCCACAGUUGUCUUCUGAGCUCUCAAGACCUGGGAGAGUUCAAACCACCUAGGCUGAAGCAGUUAAUAUGUAUCUGACUCUCACAGAAUGCUCUGCAUGCACUGAUUCAAUUAAUAUAACUGAAUUAGAACAAUUAGCAGCUACUACGACUAACCCAUGCUCCAGGCCAAGCACCUGAGGCUCACAGAGGUUAAGUGACACUCAGAGUCUCGGUGGAGAGCUGAGGGAACUGAGUAACUCCUCCGCUGCCCCCAGGGCCAACGCGGUAACAUCACCAGGACUAUGAAGAGGAUCUCAUCAGUGUGCUCCUCUCAGGCCACCCUUCUGUGGCUAUCCCUCGUUCAUUAAGAUGUGGGCCUCCCUGGUCUGGUUCCCACACCCAACAACCCCGUUCAGAAAUUCUUGUUUAUAACAGAAUAGAGGGGGCGGUACAUCAAUGUCCCUCUUGCCCAGCCAGCAGGUAGGGCAGGAGAUUUACUGUUCCCUGGACCUUCUGGUAAGCCCUGCCCCGUGGACAGUCCUCCUGACCCUUCCUGCCUCUCCUCUGAUAAGUCCAAGUUCAAAAUCUUCCCCAAAGGUGGCUUGAUUGUCAAAGGGGAUUUGGAGACUGGCCUCUCCUUCACCAGGAGGUUCAGAAAGCUCUGCUCAGGGGCUCAUUGAGUCCUGGCCUGGCCUCUGGUAGGUGGCCCCAGGAUGGGCCACCUGGGCAGAGGCAGAGAGAGGGCCAGUUGGUCCCACCCAGGUACAGAUUUCAGUAGUCACACUCCUCAAUUAAAUGAUGGUGGUGCAGAGUCAGAGAAAAGGGGAAGGAACCCGACUCGGGAAGGCCCAAGGUUGUUUGCUCUUUUCCAUGUGGGGCGAGACUGGCGGUGGGCUGAAUCCCUGGCUUCUGUUUGCUCUGAGUGUAAGUCACCCAUGACUUUCCCCAGGUCCCCAUCAAGCACCCCUACCUGCCCUUCACUUCUCAGCCACCAGGGGUCAGCACAGCACAUCCAGAGCCCUGUCAAGGCCAAGGCCCUAGACUCGGAGAAGGUGAUUCAAAGUGCAUUUAUCAAAAAGCGAUCAUUUGCUUGUAAAGCUAUCUCACUUCAUAUUUAUAUUUCUUUUAAAGUUUACAUUAUAUGUUACAUGUAUAAAAAUAUCUGUAGCACACUUAUACAAUGAAACAUAGUAUUAAGGUAAACACCCAUAAACAAGUUAAGUUCGGAACAAGAACAUUGCAAAUUCUGCUCUAUUUACCUAUAUUUUCCCCCAACCCAUCCCCCUGUCUCCCUCUCAGAGGUAAUCAGUAUCCUGAAUUUCACAUAUAUUUGUUGUUUUUAAUUUUGUCCUUGUUCUUCUAUUUUAAAAAGCUGCUAAUCAGCAAGAUUUCAGUUCUGCAUGAUGAAUAUGUUCUAGAGAUCUGCUGUACAUUUUUAAUACAGUAUUGUACACCUAGAAAUGUUAAGUGUUCUUACUCCAAUAAAAAUACAUAAUUGGCAUACUAUGAAAUUCACACUUAGAGUGUACAACCCAGUGGUUUUUAAUAUAGUCACAGGGUUGUGCACCCACCACCACCAUUUAGUUACAUCCCCACAGAAACACUAUACCCCAUUAACAGUCACUCCCAUUCCUCUUUCCCCAAGAUCCUGACCCCAUUAGUCUAAAACAACGGUAGACACAUAUGCACACACAAAUGCGCGCAUACACAUGCGUGUGUCUUACUAUUGAUUUCAAAUGGAGUUCUUCAAAUGUUUUGAAAAUUCCCCUCUAAUCUUUCCAGGAUGUUUCUGAUUUAUAUUAAUUAUAACUGCGGGUUCUAUACAUAUGGUUUUUCUCUUUAAUCUAUCCAAAACUGUGAGCUAAAUAAACCUUCAUAUUUUUUAAUAUUUAUUUUUUAGUUAUAGGUGAACACAUAUUUUUAUUUUAUUUUCAUGUGGUGCUGAGGAUCGAACCCACGGUCUCACACGUGCUAGGUGAGCACUCUACUGCUGAGCCACAAUUCCAACCCCUAAGCCUUCAUUACCUGGUGUCAAGUAGUUUGUCAUAGAAACAAAAGAGCCUAAGACAGUAUGGUGGUACUGGUCUCAUGAACAAGUAUUAGCUCUCUUGUCAAUCCCUGGAAGUCUGAAGAAGAUUGGAAUAAUCUAGGUUUAGUAUUUUCUUUGUAGGAAGAUUUAAAUGCCUAAUCAAUUAAUUCACAGUUGUGAAUAUACCUUUGGAUAUUUAUCUUUUCUUGAAUACAUUUACUAUCCAGAUACAUUUAGUAUGAAUUUGCCCUUUUUGCUAUAAAACUUAUUGUUACAAAGUUGUUCAUGGUAUUUUUCUUGUGGCUAUUUUAAUUUCUGUUGGAUCUGUGGCCACUUCCUUUUUUUUUCAUUCUUAAUAUUUCUUGUGACAAUUCCUUUUUUUAUAGAUCAGUCUCACCAGAAUAUUAAUCUUUUCAAAGAAAUUAAUCUUUAUUGUAUGUUUAAAUUUUUUCUUAAUUCUGCCCUCCUAUAUUCUUUGGUUUUAUUCUAUUUUGAUGUUGUUCCUAUUGUUAUCGUCUUAGUAGGACAUCUAGUUCGCUUUUCUCAUUUUCUAAUUUAAGCAUUAAGAUGAUAAAUUUUCCUCCAAGUGACACUUUCACUCUACCAUAUAAGCUUGAAAAUAUGGUGUUUUUUUAAAUGACUGUUCAAUUUUUUGUACUUUAACUUUCCAUUAUAAUUUUUUCACUAUAAUUUCUUAUUUGACCCGUGCAUUAUUAAGAAGUAUUUUUUUAAUGUCCACAUGGAGAGUCAUUUUUAAUUUGCUUUUAUUACUGACUUCUAACUUCAGGGCACCAUAGUCAAAGAAUGUGGUCUGUAUGACAGAUGCCUUCAACUGUGGUCACUUACUAAAAAUACACAUUCCAUGGAUUCUUAGGAAAUUGUGAAUAUCUUCACUGUUGGGAAGGAAGUUCUAUAUGCUCAUUAAAUUAAGUUCCUGGGCUGGAUUGUAGCUCAGUGGUAGAAAGCAGUUGCCUAACCUAUGCUAGGCCUGUAGUUUGAUCCACACAAAUAUCUCUCUCUCUCUCUCUCACACACACACACACACACACACACUCACACACACAAUUAAGACCAUUAACUGCUUAUUUAAAUUUCUAUUUUUUCAUGAUUUUGACUGUUUAAUAUCCAAAAUUGAAAUAGGUGCCUUAAAAUCUACCACAAUGAGAAAGGAUUUAUAAAUUUAUCCCUGUGCUUCUUAACAGAAUUCUAACAGUUUAAAGUUGUUUUAUUAUCUUGUGAUUGGGUCUUUUAGGAUUAUAUAGCAAUUCUGUCUUAAAAUCUACUUUGUUUUCUACCUUUCUAGGGACUUAUGUGUUGUGUAAAAAAAAAAAGCUGCUUUUUUUUCUUUCUUGUAAAUAGAACCUGAUGGACUUUAAUAAUUGUCAGAUUAGCUUCAUUUGCUGUAACUAUUGAUAUAUUUGGACUGAUUUUUGCCAUUUAUUUGUCCCCUAAUUUUCUAGUAAUUACUUCUAUUUUCCUUUUCUUUCUUUUGGAUUGAUUUUUUUUUUCUUAUUCACAUUUUCUCUUGACUGGUUUAGAAACUGUACAACCUAUUUCUGACCUUUUAGUGGUUGCCUUUGGAAUUUCACCUGUGUAGUCAACUUAUCAAAGAUUUAGAAGUCCAAAGGUAAUAGCUAUAAUAAUUAUUAGGCAUAAUACCUUGAAAAAUACAAAACUACCAAUCACCCUUCCUGAUAUGUAUGCUAAUAUUGCAUAAUAUUUGCUUUGUUCUUUAAAAAUCCUAUAAAGUAGGUCUUAGCAUUUGUACUUUGUGAGAGUAGUAUCUCAAUCCACCCACGGUGCAGCAGACAGUUCUCAGGAUGGCCCCCAGUGCCUCCUGGCAUAUGGUUCUCAUCAGCUCCCCCACCCUGCUCCAUGGGUGGCCUAUGUGACCUAGAGCACGGUAGAAGGAAUGGCAUGCUGCUCCCAGUACCAGUCAGGUUGUAAACGCCCCCACCCCACCACCACAUCUUCCCCUUCCCUCUCCCACAUCCCUCAGAUUGCUCAUUCUGGGGAAAGCCGGUUGCCAUCUUAUGGACACUCAGACAACCCUGUGGAGGGGCCCGAGUAGCAAAGAAUCAAGGGCCUCCGUCCAAAAACUUGCUAGAAAACUAGGCCCACCAUGAACCACGAAGUGAGCUUGGAAGUAGAUUCUCCAGGCUUCAGGCAACUGCCUCGCUGGCUGACAGGUGACUGCAACCUCUUUAACCUGAGCCAGAACCGCCCAGCUCAGUUUCUUUGAUCCCCAGAAACCGUGUGAAAUAACCAAUGUUUAUUACCCAAAGUGGCUGAGUUUGGGGUAAUUUAUUAUGGAGCAGUAGAUAAUCAAUGUAACAUAUUUACUAAAUGAUUUGUUGGCCAUUCUUUCUGAAUCUCAACCAUCCUCCAAACUAUUUUCCUUAUUUCUAAAGAUCAUCUUUUAGAAUCUUCUUUUAAAAAGACUAUUUGUUAAAAAGACAAAAAAAAAAAAAAGACUAUUUGUUGAAAAAGCCUCUUUUUUCUGUAUCUAGAAAUGUUUUCAUUUCACCUCUGGGGUGGACAGACCUUAAGGGGAUCCUCAAACAUCCCAACCUGCUAACAUCCAACCGUUGUGUGAACUACCCCUCUUGAAUACACACAGGAGAGGCAACUUGCUUCUCACAACAGGAUAUGGCAAAGGGGAUGGGAAACCACUCAAAUGGUGGCAUUGUGUUCCACAAGACUGGACCAGAGAACUGGAGCCAGAGAACGUUCUCCCUUGUUAGUUUGAAAAAGUAAGCUGUCAUGUGUGAGGGGCCUCUGGAGAGGAGCACACUGCAAGGAAUUGUGGGAUGUCCCUAGCAGCUGUGAGCAGCCCUGAGCCAACAGUCAGCAAGAAAAGAGGGACCUCUGUCCUCUGCUGCAGAGAGAUGAAUUCAGUCAGCCACCUGCAGGAGGCUGGAAGCAGAGCUUUCCCCAGUCAGUCCCUGCAUUGAGCAACCCCAGCCAACACCAAGACUGCAGCUCAGUGGACUUUGAGCAGAGAAGCCGGCUAAGCUGUCCUGAACUUCCAAACAAAGAAACCAUGUGAUAAUAAAUGUGAUGUUUUUAAGCUUCUAAAUGUGGAGCAAUUUGUUAUGCAGCAAUAGAAAACAAAUGCACUUCUAGCCCCGAAAGGCAGUUUGGCCAUGUACGUGAUUCCAAAAAAAAUCUUUUUUUGCUCUGCACUUUGUAGAUGAUAUUCCAUUGCUUCCUGGUUUUCAUUAUCACUAUUGAGAAGUCUGCUGUUCAUUCUCAUUCCUUUAUAAUCAUUCUAUCUUUGUUCUGCCUCAUUUUAAUUUCUUGUCGUAUUUAUGAUGUUCUGGGUUUCACUAAAGUCUAAAUGUUGACUCAUUUCUAUAUUGUCUGUGUGUUCCCUAUUCCUGUAGUCAUCCUUUUCACCAACUAGUUAAAAAACAAAACCAAACACUUCUCAACUCUCAAUCAUUGUCCCUUGAGCUACUACCUCUCCUCCGUUCUAUUUUCUGACACUAUAAUCAGGACUAUGGGGGUGCAGAGCGGCUUGGUGGUUGGCUGGAGUAGCAUCGUUCUUCUGCUGGGGGGCUAUGAUCUUCACUGGGCAGCAGCUCACCACACUGGGCAGAAGAGCAGCUUAAUAUUUUGGCAUUGGGUAAGAGAAAAUGGCCUGAACCAAAGAGACCACUGGUAAGUCCCCUGGUGGUAAACCCACCUCCUACACUGCAAACAGCUGGCCCCCAAGGCUGCCAGGAAAAGCACUUCCUCUACCUGAGGGUGAAGAAACCUCAAGGCUACAGGCCUGGGACCGUGUCAUUGUUUCCAGAAAUGAACCAAUUUUCUCAUCCAUGUUGCCUUUCCAGAGGCUGGUAAGAGAGGUCCUCCAGGAUUUCAAAACCAACUUGAAGCUUCAGAGUGCAGCUACUGGUGCCCUUUGGGAGGCCACCAAAGCAGACCUGGUGGGCCUGUUUGAAGAUACUAAUGUGCGUGCCAUCCACACUGAAAGUACCACCAUGCCCAAAGACAUCCAGUUGGCUCACCAGAUAACAGGAGAGAGAGCUUAGGUGAAGGCCUUAAGUCAUCCAGCUUUCACUCAGGAUGAACACAAAAAGUGACUUUUCACAGACCUCACUGACGUGAGCUCUGCUGCUCCCGGAGUGACAAGUUGCUAACAAGCAGAAUGUGGUCUUUCUUUUUCUCAUGACACAUGCUUUUGUAUGUUAAUGACUUGUUGGGUAGCUAUUAAGGUACUAGAAUUGAUAAAUGUAUACAGGGUCCUUCAGCAAUAAAUAACUUGGAAAAAAUGGAAAUGUGCUUACACAUUCUCAUUCUAUUUUCUAUAUCACUUAACAGGGCUUUCAGUUUUCGCUUCUUGGCUUCUCUGUUACGUUCUGAGUAGCUGUUUCAGAUUUGUUUUCCAUUUUUGUUUCUCCUUUUAACUGUUGAAUCUGCUGUUUAAUGUAUCCAUCUCAUUUUCUGUUUCGGUGAUCACAUUCUUUAUGUCUAAAUGUCCUAUUUGGUUCUUUUAAAGUUGUUUGGUCAUUUGGUUAGUCUUUGUGGCCUAUACAUUUUUACGAUCUCAUUUUUUAAAUUUCUUUCAACAUUUCCUACAUAUUCUAUAUCCUAUAUCUGAUAAUUCCAAAAUCUUAAAUCCUUGGGGGUCUAAAUCACUGUUAUUUCUCUGCCUUUCAAACAGUGACGUCUUGUUGUUUCUUUUUGUGCUCAGUAAUCUUUGAUUUUGAACUCAUGGUUGCUAGAUUUUAAUAUAUGGGAAACCAAUAGCUUUAAAAUGAGAUGUUUUCCUCCAGCAAGUUUGUUUUGCUUUUUUUGUGAACACUAAGAGUGUCAGAUACCAACCUGAGGCCAUUUAUCCCCUCUCCAAGGUCCUGGGCUUAAUGUAGCAAUCUCAGGUGUGGCUUCCCAACCUUGCUGGGCCCAGUGACUAUUAGUCUCCAGAGAGCAAUUGUGUCGAUUAGCAUUCACUCUAACAGCAAAAGUGCUUCAAUUCUGUUUGCACUUUACGUAUUUUACUGUUAGUUUUAUAACGCAGGUUUUUAGUUUUUUGGUUUUGGUUUAGUUUUUGACCUUUCAGAUAGUUUAGUCCAUGGAGAGGUGACUGAUGAGUGGAUAUUUCCCUUCCUUCUUGUUCUGUAGUAACAAAUCUGAGAUCGAUUGUUUUAUAGUGGAAAGUUCCUUCAAUGAUUCAGGCAAUCUUUGUCCUAAAUACAUUUUUCAAAGUAUGGCAUAAAAUAAGUUUUGUGCAUCUGCUAUGAAUAAAAAAUCGAUGUCUAUUUCUAUUUA
Long non-coding RNA from Marmota monax (woodchuck), 13486 nucleotides. RefSeq lists it as uncharacterized. NCBI's taxonomy places the organism in Eukaryota, Metazoa, Chordata, Mammalia, Rodentia, Sciuridae. The record is from RefSeq and is a predicted model, not a curated record. The transcript is spliced from 2 exons.